AGAGUUUGAUCCGGCUCAGGAUGAACGCCGGCGGCGUGCCUAACACAUGCAAGUCGAGCGAAGCGCGCCCCGGAAUCCUUCGGGAGGAAGGGUCGCGACUGAGCGGCGGACGGGUGAGUAACGCGUGGGUAACCUGCCUUGCACUGGGGGAUAACACUUAGAAAUAGGUGCUAAUACCGCAUAAGCGCACGGUCCUGCAUGGGACAGUGUGAAAAACUCCGGUGGUGCAAGAUGGACCCGCGUCUGAUUAGCUGGUUGGCGGGGUAAAGGCCCACCAAGGCGACGAUCAGUAGCCGGCCUGAGAGGGUGGACGGCCACAUUGGGACUGAGACACGGCCCAAACUCCUACGGGAGGCAGCAGUGGGGGAUAUUGGACAAUGGGGGGAACCCUGAUCCAGCGACGCCGCGUGAGUGAAGAAGUAUUUCGGUAUGUAAAGCUCUGUCAGCAGGGAAGAAAGCAAUGACGGUACCUGACCAAGAAGCCCCGGCUAACUACGUGCCAGCAGCCGCGGUAAUACGUAGGGGGCAAGCGUUAUCCGGAAUUACUGGGUGUAAAGGGAGCGUAGACGGCUGUGCAAGUCUGGAGUGAAAGGCGGGGGCCCAACCCCCGGACUGCUCUGGAAACUGUAUGGCUGGAGUGCAGGAGAGGUAAGCGGAAUUCCUAGUGUAGCGGUGAAAUGCGUAGAUAUUAGGAGGAACACCAGUGGCGAAGGCGGCUUACUGGACUGUAACUGACGUUGAGGCUCGAAAGCGUGGGGAGCAAACAGGAUUAGAUACCCUGGUAGUCCACGCCGUAAACGAUGAUUACUAGGUGUCGGAGGGUAUGGACCCUCCGGUGCCGCAGCAAACGCAGUAAGUAAUCCACCUGGGGAGUACGUUCGCAAGAAUGAAACUCAAAGGAAUUGACGGGGACCCGCACAAGCGGUGGAGCAUGUGGUUUAAUCCGAAGCAACGCGAAGAACCUUACCAGGUCUUGACAUCGUAUGCAUAGCCUAGAGAUAGGUGAAAUCCCUUCGGGGACAUAUAGACAGGUGGUGCAUGGUUGUCGUCAGCUCGUGUCGUGAGAUGUUGGGUUAAGUCCCGCAACGAGCGCAACCCUUACCUUUAGUUGCUACGCAAGAGCACUCUAGAGGGACUGCCGUUGACAAAACGGAGGAAGGUGGGGAUGACGUCAAAUCAUCAUGCCCCUUAUGACCUGGGCUACACACGUACUACAAUGGCAAUUAACAGAGGGAAGCAAAACAGCGAUGUGGAGCAAAUCCCGAAAAAUUGUCCCAGUUCAGAUUGCAGGCUGAAACUCGCCUGCAUGAAGUCGGAAUUGCUAGUAAUCGCAGAUCAGAAUGCUGCGGUGAAUACGUUCCCGGGCCUUGCACACACCGCCCGUCA
RNAcentral lists this ribosomal RNA (1386 nucleotides) under uncultured bacterium. RNAcentral's name for it is "bacterial SSU rRNA". It matches the Rfam family "Bacterial small subunit ribosomal RNA". The record is from RNAcentral.